This 345-nucleotide unclassified non-coding RNA is filed under the name soil metagenome. RNAcentral describes it as "partial contains 5.8S ribosomal RNA, internal transcribed spacer 2, and large subunit ribosomal RNA". The stretch from base 1 to 120 matches the Rfam family "5.8S ribosomal RNA", at positions 35 to 154 of the family's 154-position model. The record is from RNAcentral.
GAUGAAGAACGCAGCGAAAUGCGAUACGUAAUGUGAAUUGCAGAAUUCAGUGAAUCAUCGAGUCUUUGAACGCACAUUGCGCCCCCUGGUAUUCCGGGGGGCAUGCCUGUCCGAGCGUCGUUGCUGCCCUCAAGCACGGCUUGUGUGUUGGGCCUCCGUCCUCCUCCCGGGGGACGGGCCCGAAAGGCAGCGGCGGCACCGCGUCCGGUCCUCGAGCGUAUGGGGCUUCGUCACCCGCUCUUGUAGGCCCGGCCGGCGCUUGCCGACACAUCAAUCUUUUUUCCAGGUUGACCUCGGAUCAGGUAGGGAUACCCGCUGAACUUAAGCAUAUCAAUAAGCGGAGGA